AUUACUGUAUGUUUUAUGUCUCAGGAUUAGACCCUGAUGGAUAUAAAAUUGGUUCUAGGAAUAGUUCCAACAGAUAGGCCAGAAAAGAUGGGAUUUGGGUAUUUAUUUGGUCAUGUCCUCAGACUUGAGUGCAGUAGUGAGCUCUUUGCCAAGGGAAAUGGAAUGUUAAGUAAAAUGCAGCAUGCAGUGAAAUCAUAACUAGUUAAAUUAACACCUAUGGUUGACUGGGAUGGAGUGCCCAUUAAAACAAGUGCCUUGGGAGCUCAGCUGGCUGCUACAUUUGACCAUAAUGGCAGCAACGAUGACUACAAGGACUGUGGUGCAGGAUGGAUAUUUUUAAGUGUGCUUGAGUGCUUACAGAAAGAAAACAACAAACUCAGAUUCUUUAAGCCCCAGUUCAAGUUAAAAUCUGAGAACUAGAAAGCCUUCAUGAUAUAAUCCUUGAAGCCAUGGUACUAACAGUAAUGAAAGACAAACAAAAUUUAGUUGUUCAUGUUACUUAAUUACAACAAGAAUUCAUAGUCUCACCAAGUGUCUCAUGAAAGUCAGGGCAUCUAAUGAGAAAGAUGGGACAUGGAACUUGGAAUAGGGAUAUCUGCUUGGACCCAGAUGAAACUGACAAUCCUGAACUCCCAAGUCCCUUCAGCCACCCUUAUCAGUGGAAGUAGCUUGCCCUCUGGUGUUUGAGAAAACUAGCCUUUCUUUGCUUAAAAUCAUGUGCUAACUUCACUUGAGGCAGAUGUCUUGGAAAGGGAUCCUCAUUCUCUUCAAGACCCACCACAGACCCCCUCAUUGUCAUUAGACCCACAACUGGGGUUAAAUCUCAGCAUGUUCCAGGGGCACAGAUCCACACUGUGACCCAUGAAGAAAUAGUUUACACACCAAAAUAAUUACAAUAAUGUUCAAUAAUAUAUGGGAAUGUAUUAAAAAACAUGUGUGGGUAUGCAUUAUAAGGAUGUUUGACCAGGAGGAUGGAAUACCCCACUAAAACAGGUUAAAUUCAUUGAUAUGACUGAAUUUGCUAAAGAUUCCAGAUUUAUAAUGUGUCUUUUUGUGCUGAAAGUAGGUAUAACACCUUGCUUCAUUGGUUAACUGAAAUAUGGGAUCAGCAGUGCCCUACAGUUGAUAAUAUUGAGAUGCCAGAGCUGCCCCAGUGUGAUGUAGAAGAGGGAAUUCAAACACUUAGGGAGAUAGGAAUGUUAAGUACCAUUUAUCAUGCAUACCCACUCCCAACUAUAUUCCACAAGAAGGCCAAGGGAGCACUUUCUUCACUAACAAUGAGAAAUAAAUUAGUAAGGGGAGCAUCCACAUCAUUGAAAAGCUGUAUGGUUUUUCUGUCCUGUAGGCUAGGUAUGACUGUGUGGAUGCCAUCAUUGAGAUGAGUUCCUUGAUUUCAAUAGGGAUGAUGAGAUCCUGGGGUAGCAACUGCCAAAGACGAAUUGGGUCCAUCUUCCUUAAAGGCCAGCAGUCUUGAGAAUUCUGGUCAGUUUUAAACACAUUGGUGCACAGUCCCUUUCUUUUAACUUUUUAGGGCAGCCAGAGGGUUCUUAGCCUGCUCCUCAAAUGUUAUAUGAUUUUAGCCAUCACUCUUCUUUCUGUGCUACAGUGAGCAUCUCUAUUAGAGGGGACAUCCUGGACUGAGGUUAGCAGAGUAGUUUGUGGUAGGAAGAAAUGCUCCCCGCACCAAUCACUGUAGUCAGUAUCCCUUGGAUGACAAUGGCUCAGAGGUGACAGCAGAAAAUUUGUGAUCAGAGGAGAUGGGACUUGAAGGCCAAAGCAGUUUUCAUAAACCACUUACUGGGGAUGAAGAUGUCAGGCCAGGCUUGUUAAGCAAAACCAGAGGUUUCUGAUCAGAAGCAAGAGGAUUAACCAAAUCUAACACCCACACAGACAACAAAGAUCAGAGACAGCUGAGUCAGAUGUCAGACAAACAGACA
Molecule: long non-coding RNA, 1937 nt
Filed under: Homo sapiens (human)
Lineage: Eukaryota; Metazoa; Chordata; Mammalia; Primates; Hominidae
Description: HSALNT0088570
Source: RNAcentral